RNAcentral lists this transfer RNA (69 nucleotides) under Fukomys damarensis (Damara mole-rat). It matches the Rfam family "tRNA". Rfam says of the family: Transfer RNA (tRNA) molecules are approximately 80 nucleotides in length. Their secondary structure includes four short double-helical elements and three loops (D, anti-codon, and T loops). Lineage: Eukaryota; Metazoa; Chordata; Mammalia; Rodentia; Bathyergidae. The record is from Rfam by way of RNAcentral.
GAGAGUGCAGCUCAGUGGUACAGCACUUGCCUAGCAUGCAAGAAGCUCUGGGUUUGAUCCCCAGCACCA